Long non-coding RNA from Dicentrarchus labrax (European seabass), 459 nucleotides. RefSeq lists it as uncharacterized. The transcript has 2 exons. Lineage: Eukaryota; Metazoa; Chordata; Actinopteri; Moronidae. The record is from RefSeq and is a predicted model, not a curated record.
GUUUGCGCCGGAAGUCCCGCUUCAUGGCCACGAGGGUCCGCGGGCCGAUGGAGCACUGCACCGAGGCGUCCCUCUUCGGGUUCACCUGCACCGCCACAUCUUUAGUGUUCGCCUUCCUGAGCCUCGGGCUCACAGAAUACGAUGGUCAGAGUGAAACUCCCGUACAUCAGGGGAGGAAACAGAGUGCCCAGAGAAAAUAAAUGCACUGACGUCACAAAGCUGAGGUUGGAGUGGGACGGGACAGUUUGCACCAGUCAGUGACUCAGGGUUUCAUCUGUCUCCUCCCCCUCCUGGAGACUCACCGUGUCCCCCAUUAACCAACGGGUGACUGUAGGUACGUAAUGCCACAGCUGUCUGUGUGCAGAAUACAUAAACUGUCACCUUCCCCUUAAAAGCUGUGAAGUGUACAGACACUUUUUGAUGCUCUCACUAUAAAUAAACUGAAGUUGGCAAUUCUUU